GACGAACGCUGGCGGCGUGCUUAACACAUGCGAGUCGAACGGAAAGGCCCUGCUUUUGUGGGGUGCUCGAGUGGCGAACGGGUGAGUAACACGUGAGUAACCUGCCCUUGACUUUGGGAUAACUUCAGGAAACUGGGGCUAAUACCGGAUAGGAGCUCCUGCUGCAUGGUGGGGGUUGGAAAGUUUCGGCGGUUGGGGAUGGACUCGCGGCUUAUCAGCUUGUUGGUGGGGUAGUGGCUUACCAAGGCUUUGACGGGUAGCCGGCCUGAGAGGGUGACCGGCCACAUUGGGACUGAGAUACGGCCCAGACUCCUGCGGGAGGCAGCAGUGGGGAAUAUUGCACAAUGGGCGGAAGCCUGAUGCAGCAACGCCGCGUGCGGGAUGACGGCCUUCGGGUUGUAAACCGCUUUCGCCUGUGACGAAGCGUGAGUGACGGUAAUGGGUAAAGAAGCACCGGCUAACUACGUG
Molecule: ribosomal RNA, 468 nt
Filed under: uncultured bacterium
Lineage: Bacteria
Description: partial 16S ribosomal RNA
Rfam family: Bacterial small subunit ribosomal RNA
Source: RNAcentral